AACCUCUUUUGUCUAUGAAAACACGAGUUUAAUGUCGGUGCGAACAUAGUAUAACAGAUAAGUAUUUUGAAGAAAGAUUCUUCUAUGAAACUUGUGUACUAACAAUUUUAAUGCUGCGGAAACAAUUUAAAUAACAUAACUAUACAACUUUUAAAAUGGGAACAGAAAAUAUAUAAUAUAAACUUUACAAGUGUUUAUUCUACUAAUUUGCUUCUAUUUUGCGGACUUUUAUGAAACUUGUUUUAUUAGCUUUAGUGCUCUUGGAUUAAAAUAUUUAUAUAAUAAUUUAUUCAAAAUACCUUAGAUAAAAGCGUUAAUGGUGUUAUAUAUAGGACGGAUUUCUAGAUUGAAAGACGAAUAAGUGAUAUUUUUAUUUCAUAAAAAUUACCAUAUUUAUUGAAAAUGUACUGCCAUAUGUAAUUUUUUGCCGAAAGGAACUUUAACCUUGAUGGUCCCGAUGUUUUUAAAAGAUACCAGUAUGAUAUUCGAAAAGAACCGCUUUCAUUUUCGAAACGAAAUUUCGGCGUAGAAAGGAUUGUAUUGGAAGUAACUUCGUUCACGAAAAGAACUGCAGUUUUGUUCUAUCCGAAGGAAUGGCCAUGAUUACAUAGGGAUUCUCCGCAGAAGUUUGUUCCUUUCUUCACUUGGAUGGCCACGAUCUCAAUAAACUUACUCGAGUAGCCGGCAUGCUCCUCAGAAGUAAAUUAUUUUGAAAACAUAUGGGAGAUCGUUGUGUGCUGUAUUUACACUUAAAAUCGCUAAUUUUAUAAUUUUCAUGAACUUAAUGUCGCCACAGUCAAGAAGUAGGAACAGUUGGACUUUAAUUUACUAAAACACCUCGUAACUUAACUGAACGCUUUGCCCUUAAGCAUUUUAAUUAAAUCAUUAAUUACCAAUUUUAAUUCAAACGCACUUAAGCUAAAAAAAAAUCACAAAAGUCCGCAAAACAGAAGCAAAGUAUGAGUGGUUUUAUAAUUUUGCAACACGUAUUUCAUACAUUUUCUAUCCAAAUUUUUUAGUUUUUAUAGUGUUGUUAUUAAAAUUUGUUCCAAAGCACUUGAGUUGUCAAUAUACAGGCUUCAUGGAAGAAAUUUUCUUCAUAAUACUUACUUGUUGGACUUAACAACUAUAAUUUUAUUGGUCUUUUAAUUUUGCAAUAGAGUGUAUAUAUUCAGAAUAUGUUCGGUAAAAUAUAUUAAAUCUCUAUACAUUGUUUUUAAUAAACCGCAAGCAGUUAAUUCAGCUUGCAGCAAGAAGUUUAAAAAAAAAAAGAAAAAUUAAUUAUUUGGAAAUAAGCGUACAGAAUCUGACUGCGUUUUAGAUCAACAAAGAAUAGUGAUAUCAUGAUUUGAACCACUGUGCUGUUAUGAAGUGAACCACGUUUGCUACAGGUUACAUCAAUAAAUCUUUUAUUCGGUUCCAAUACUGCUUGAAGCCCUAGGUUAUAGGCGGUCUUUAUUUAAAAAAAUUUUUAUUACCUCUACGACCUUUUUUUCUCCUGGGCUAAUUUUUCCAUUUGCACAUAAUUCAAUAUACAUUUAAUAAUACAUUCAUUAUUGUUUUUGACAUUUAAAUUGUGGAACGCUGGCAAUAAUUUUGGUCUUUGCUGAUUACUCCUGUUCCUCAGAGCUUCAUGAAGAUUCCGGCGUGGAGAGUUACUGUGUAAAGCGUUACACGAGUAAAAAUGAUCGCUAACGCGAAAAUCCAUCUCUGUAAGGCGAUAAGCGCAUUGGAAUUCGCGUUUUACGGAUGCGUUUUCCCCCUUCGCGAUGGCAGCACUCCGUACUGCGCAAGCGAUUGUCAAACGUAACGCACAAACUAUAAAAGUAGCGGAAAUAUUUCCUGAUCCAAAGAACUAGGUCAGUUGCAAAUCACAUUGGAACAGCAUAGUUUAAAAAUAUAAAAACUUCCUCAGCUCUGGACCGGUGAAGUGACUUGAGAAGAGGCCGCUGCGAAAGAGGUUUAAGAUUGGGAGUACUUUGAGACAAUGCACGCGUAUUCAUCCCCUUAGGAUAAUUACCACCCUCCCUAUUUGCUUGACAGCAGUGAGGGUGGUUUGAAGGGUAACUACCUUUUGCAUAUUGAGGGCUGUUGAGGCAAACACGAGUGUCAUGCUCCUAUCCCGAAAAGCCUGUAAAAACGUCCGUAAAAUUUGCAUCACUAUCAGAAAAUGCUUGCAGUUGAAUUGAAUCAAACUUCUUAUGGUUAGUAUAUUCAAUAUGUUUUUUAACAGGACAUUUAAUUCUUAUGUGAGAACAAUCGAUGGCUUUAAUGAAUUUGAGAAAAGCUUUACUUUUGGCUUUUCUGCCAAACUCUAAACCUAUGUAGCCUAUUAUAAUCGUUAACAGAAGCAUGUUUUAUUAAUUGAUGUGGUUUCGCAAUUCAUCUAACAUAUUAUGUAUAUAUUCCUUACUUUUAACCGGCUGAAACACAUAAAUGUUGCAGCAAUACGAUAACUGCAACCACAAUCCAACCAAAAAAAAAAAAAAACCACAAUGCAACCAAAAUAAAAAAAACCACAAUCCAACUAAAAUAAAAAAAAUACCACCAUCCAACCAAAAUAAAAAAAGAACAAUGACCAACCAUGUGAUUUUUCGGAAUGAUUAGCACAAUUUUUCUAAACGUGCUGGCAGAGAUCCUUAAAUGCAUUCUAAUUUUUUUUCUAUUACCGGACAUAUUAUCAUUGAUAUCCUCAGAUGUAAUUUUUGGAUGAAGAUAAACAAUAUCCUGUAAUGAUUUGUACAAAAUUAAUAUAAAGAAAAACGUAGUUGUAAUACAAGUAUUGUUUUGAAUCCUAUUAAUUUUGAAAGUAUAUUUUUUAAUUUAAAUAACAAGACAAAA
Long non-coding RNA from Bactrocera oleae (olive fruit fly), 2841 nucleotides. RefSeq lists it as uncharacterized. Lineage: Eukaryota; Metazoa; Arthropoda; Insecta; Diptera; Tephritidae. The record is from RefSeq and is a predicted model, not a curated record.